RNAcentral lists this ribosomal RNA (255 nucleotides) under uncultured bacterium. Its description in RNAcentral is "partial 16S ribosomal RNA". It matches the Rfam family "Bacterial small subunit ribosomal RNA", at positions 524 to 776 of the family's 1533-position model. The record is from RNAcentral.
UACGUAGGAGGCAAGCGUUGUCCGGAAUUACUGGGCGUAAAGCGCGUGUAGGUGGUGGGACAAGUCUGCUGUGAAAGCGCCUGGCUUAACCGGGCGAGGUCGGCGGAAACUGUCCGACUCGAGGACGGUAGAGGGGGGUGGAAUUCCCGGUGUAGUGGUGAAAUGCGUAGAGAUCGGGAGGAACACCUGUGGCGAAGGCGGCCCCCCUGGGCCGGCCCUGACACUGAGACGCGAAGGCGUGGGGGAGCGAACGGG